CGCUGGCGGCGUGCCUAACACAUGCAAGUCGAGCGAGGAGAUCCUUCGGGAUGAUCCUAGCGGCGGACGGGUGAGUAACACGUGGGCAACCUGCCUCAUAGAGAGGAAUAGCCUUCCGAAAGGGAGAUUAAUACCUCAUAACAUUGCAGUUUCGCAUGGAACAGCAAUUAAAGGAGCAAUCCGCUAUGAGAUGGGCCCGCGGCGCAUUAGCUAGUUGGUGAGGUAACGGCUCACCCAAGGCGACGAUGCGUAGCCGACCUGAGAGGGUGAUCGGCCACAUUGGGACUGAGACACGGCCCAGACUCCUACGGGAGGCAGCAGUGGGGAAUAUUGCACAAUGGGGGAAACCCUGAUGCAGGCCAACGCCGCGUGAGUGAUGACGGCCUUCGGGUUGUAAAGCUCUGUCUUCAGGGACGAUAAUGACGGUACCUGAGGAGGAAGCCACGGCUAACUACGUGCCAGCAGCUGC
Molecule: ribosomal RNA, 469 nt
Filed under: uncultured bacterium
Lineage: Bacteria
Description: bacterial SSU rRNA
Rfam family: Bacterial small subunit ribosomal RNA
Source: RNAcentral